Molecule: long non-coding RNA, 283 nt
Filed under: Elaeis guineensis (African oil palm)
Lineage: Eukaryota; Viridiplantae; Streptophyta; Magnoliopsida; Arecales; Arecaceae
Description: long non-coding RNA (EGUI_LNC064099)
Source: RNAcentral
UGCUCAAGGGAUCUAAGAUUUAACUGUCAAUUCUUAUAUGGUCAUCCAUAUUAUAUUUUAAUUUUUAAAAUCUAUUACAUGGAUUACCUCGAUCAAGAUUUUACUGAAUUAAAACAUACUGAUACUUAACUCCUACUUAUUUAGAGGGAUCAAUUCCAUCUUGACUUACAUACCGACUUCGCAAGUACUUGACUGUGUCCAAAAAUUUUUUAUCACUGAAUUAAAAAUUCAGAUAGUCUGGUACCAAAGCACAGUGAAUUGCUUGCAAGUCAUCAUGGUGGUC